RNAcentral lists this ribosomal RNA (433 nucleotides) under uncultured bacterium. RNAcentral describes it as "bacterial SSU rRNA". It matches the Rfam family "Bacterial small subunit ribosomal RNA", at positions 33 to 507 of the family's 1533-position model. The record is from RNAcentral.
AACGACGCUGGCGGCAGGCCUAACACAUGCAAGUCGAGCGAUCCUUUCGGGGGAUAGCGGCGGACGGGUGAGUAACGCGUGGGAACGUACCCUUUGCUACGGAAUAGCCUCGGGAAACUGGGAGUAAUACCGUAUGUGCCCUUCGGGGGAAAGAUUUAUCGGCAAAGGAUCGGCCCGCGUUGGAUUAGGUAGUUGGUGGGGUAAUGGCCUACCAAGCCGACGAUCCAUAGCUGGUUUGAGAGGAUGAUCAGCCACACUGGGACUGAGACACGGCCCAGACUCCUACGGGAGGCAGCAGUGGGGAAUCUUAGGCAAUGGGGGCAACCCUGAUCUAGCCAUGCCGCGUGAGUGAUGAAGGCCCUAGGGUUGUAAAGCUCUUUCAGCUGGGAAGAUAAUGACGGUACCAGCAGAAGAAGCCCCGGCUAACUCCGUG